RNAcentral lists this ribosomal RNA (429 nucleotides) under uncultured bacterium. RNAcentral describes it as "bacterial SSU rRNA". It matches the Rfam family "Bacterial small subunit ribosomal RNA", at positions 355 to 776 of the family's 1533-position model. The record is from RNAcentral.
UAGGGAAUAUUCCGCAAUGGGCGAAAGCCUGACGGAGCGACGCCGCGUGAGCGAUGAAGGUCUUCGGAUCGUAAAGCUCUGUUGUUAGGGAAGAACAAGUACCGGAGUAACUGCCGGUACCUUGACGGUACCUAACCAGAAAGCCCCGGCUAACUACGUGCCAGCAGCCGCGGUAAUACGUAGGGGGCGAGCGUUGUCCGGAAUUAUUGGGCGUAAAGGGCGCGUAGGCGGUCUCUUAAGUCUGAUGUGAAAGCCCCCGGCUUAACCGGGGAGGGUCAUUGGAAACUGGGAGACUUGAGUGCAGGAGAGGGAAGCGGAAUUCCAUGUGUAGCGGUGAAAUGCGUAGAGAUAUGGAGGAACACCAGUGGCGAAGGCGGCUUCCUGGCCUGUAACUGACGCUGAGGCGCGAAAGCGUGGGGAGCAAACAGG